CAUCACCAGCAGGACAGCGAACACGCCAGGGGGACACGCCCACCUGGCGAGGGGCGUGGUGUGGUUCAGACACCAUUGCCUGCUGUGCUGUUCCAGUUCAAAUCCUAGGCAUGCUGGAGACAAUUACAGAGGUGAGAGACCCGUUUCCGUGUACCACAAUGGAGGAAGUGGAACUUUUUGCGCAACGGCUCAAAGAUCCCGUCAACAUUCUAAUGAGUGGUGAGUUUUUUUGUUUUAAGAAUCUCACGCAAAGCUGAUUAAAAUCUAUUGUAUGUAAUUUACACUAGACAAUACCAUGUUUGAUGGAAAUGUUUUUUCAAACAUUCUGUAAAGUAUCAAAUAUUAAUCGUACUUUUUCGAUCCAUUUUCGAUUUCCUCCCUGGCAACGAUCGGACGACAUGAUGCCAAAUGUGGAACAUCCUCGAAUGAAUGGAAAAAAAUUAUUCAGUCAAAUGACAUCUAAGACUUUGCUCCUGCAUGCCGUCAGAAAGAAUCAUGCCACACAUGCAUCCACUGAUGAACAGAUUCUAAAGCAUGCCAUUAGGUGGUUCAACCUGGCAGCAAACCGGGGUAGCUCCAGGAGGCGUGCUACUGUCGACAUCCCCCACACUGAACAGAAUUAAAAAUAUAUAUUUACAUUUUUAUAUAUAAUAUAUAUUUAUAUAUAUAUAUUAGGGCUGUCAAUCGAUUAAAAAAAUUUAACUAAUUAAUCGCACAUUGUGAAAUUGCGAUUAAUUACAAACUUUUAAUCGCAAUUGAAAGUGUUGACAGACAAACGGAUUGACCAAUCACGUUGAAGGUUUCAUGUGACGAGUUCUUUCCGCGCCGCGUCCCCCGACACGUCGCCCUCCGUUCCUCUGUGUAUCAGAGGGGGAGACGGGAGGAAGGAGGAGCAGGAAACCCGACUGA
Molecule: long non-coding RNA, 909 nt
Organism: Pseudoliparis swirei
Lineage: Eukaryota; Metazoa; Chordata; Actinopteri; Perciformes; Liparidae
Exons: 3
Source: RefSeq, a predicted model, not a curated record